Long non-coding RNA from Eubalaena glacialis (North Atlantic right whale), 3196 nucleotides. RefSeq lists it as uncharacterized. The transcript is spliced from 4 exons. The record is from RefSeq and is a predicted model, not a curated record. Lineage: Eukaryota; Metazoa; Chordata; Mammalia; Artiodactyla; Balaenidae.
AUGCGUGCUGGAGAACGUAGUCUCCCAGGUUCCCGUUUGGUGCUAGCCUGCCUCACUUUCGUCAAGAGAACUUUCCCAUCUAGUUCUGCCUGUUGAAGAAGGGACUCCUUACAGAGAGGCUCAGACCAUGCUGUCCACAGUCCAAGGCUGCCCUAGGAGAUAACGCUUAAACAUGCCAGAGCCUGGAGUGGGUGAGCAAUAAACGCUGGUGAUGAUCCUCCCCGGAAGGUGACGAGCUCAGGCCAGGAGGCCCUGGGAGAGAGUGCUGCGGGGAUGCCAGGGGUCCACACCUGGGAAGACGAAGAUGAAGCAGGCGGCCAGGCCUCCAAUGACCGAGAUGACCUUGCCGAUGUCAGGGAUGAAGAGCGCCAGCAGCAGGGUGAGCAGGAACCAGACCAGCGUCUGUAGUACUCGCCGCCGCCGCUCCCGCCCCACGUCCUCCUCCACCGGCAUCCCCUGGUAGCGCAGCCACAGGCCUUCGACCACCGCCCUGCCCACACGGAGAGCGGCUCAGAGGCACCCCUGCUAACAGCUCCCCACCUCCAGCCAUGGGGCCAGACCCCCGACUGGGUGGAUUGCAGGACUCCCCCAUCCUGCCUGUAACGUGGAUUCCAUCCCAGGAUGGGGAGUGAGCUAAGGGGACAAAAGGGACCUUGCAACUAGCACCUGAAAUCCGAAGCAGAUGGUGGGCAUGGCAUUGAACACGGCUAUCCAGGAAGCUGGCCUGCGGACAAACACACAAGAUGCUGCUGCCCAGGAACCCCUCAGGGUCACCAACCGCCGCCAUGCUCUUGCUCUUCAUUCAGCCCCCCACGGCCUCCACCAGCCAGCAUGCACACAUUCAACCCACAGAAGUCUGGGAACUGGGAGAGGACACAUUUACAGGUCAGUAAACUAGGGCUCUGGAAGGCCCUCCUGGGACCAAAAUCCAGAAUUUUGGGCUCUUGCACUUGGGCUUUUGCUUCUCUGAUUUGUUCCUUUCACGAAAAAAGAAACUUUUUUUUUUUAAUUAAGAAAAUUGAUUCAUCCUCACAUGGAAGAUACAGAUAUUACAGAUAAGCACAUGUUGAAACAAAUGUGCAAUUCCACCUUGGCAGUUUCCAUAACCUGAGGACUAGUCUCACAUUGGCUCAUCUGUUGGACAUUAGUGGCAAAGUCUCCCUCAUUCCCAGCUGUCACUCUUCUCUCCAGUAAAAAGAGAUCAGGACCUCUUGCCUCCUUCCUAAAAUGACCAAAGAGUCAAGCCCCGAUGAGCUAAUGAGCCUUGGGAAGAGCACCUGUGCGGCUUUUUGAUGCCUGACCCAGCACCUCCUGGGGCCCGAGUGGCAGCUUCUACCCCAUGUGUCUCCCGGGGGCCCUCACCCACCUGUUCAGGAUGUCCGCUGGGGUCAUCUCUUUAUCAGGCCAGAUGUAUUUGAUGAUAACGAUGGCAGUGACAUACCAGGUGCCCACGACGCUCAGGAAGCUGCCAGGAAGGAUAGAUUAAGCUUCCUCCUCCCUAGCCCCAGCUGCCUUUUCUCUCAUUCCAUCCCCAGGGACAUCCACCCUUAACUUUAGUGACCACAAGUGUCUAAUGAACCAACUGGGAGACUAUCCCAAACAAAGACUCAAAAAAUGCAUGAGAAAUAAGUUUCAGAGAAACAAGCCACAUUUAGGAAGCCAAGAGGGGACCAGACUGACACUUGUGGCCAUUAGGAAAUGAGGUGGUUCAGCUCCAUGGCUCAGAGACCACAGCAGGGGGCUGGGCUUCAAAGCACAUCUGCUACUUCAAUCAGAGCAGCCCAGAUUUGGCGAGAGGUGCAAGCAGGGCCUUUGAGAAGUAGGAGAUGCUGGAGGGUUGAAGGCACAAAUACUGGGAAGUCAACAUUAAAGGAAACCUUGGAGACACUGAGUGUGACCCCUUCGAUAAAGGAUCACAGGAAACAGCUUAGAAUCCCAUAGCUUUUCAGACUCUGAGCCAGGAAGCUAGUCCCUUCCCUUCAUACCAAGCUGCAUGGAAAAUGCUGCCAGGCUGACAAUCUCAAAUGAUCAAGAAUCCCAUCCUCCGUGGGAAAGACAAGGCCCAGGCUAGGAGACUGCCUUCACACAUGAUUAUCACCCAUCCCUUCUUUGACAAGGACAUUUGGAACUGAAUCUCUCACUGAUGCAAAGAGCCACUGUCUCCCUUGCUGCUGACACAAAAGGAAGGUCUUAUGCUGGAACCCCUGCAAGCCCCGGUCUACCCUGCCUUGCCCACUCUUGCUGCCCCAGGAGAUGAGGUGGCAUGGAGGAGAGGGGUUCCCCUGCAGCCCUUGGGUCUCCAGCUGCCUGUGAUCAGAGCUUCUGUCCAGCGCAGGCUGGGGUGGGGCCUCCGAACCUGGCAUAUUUCUGGAAGCCGAUCUCCCUGGGGAUGGAAAGGGGCAGGAUGAAGAGGAAGGCAGUGAGGCUGAUGGUGAACUUGCGGUCUGUGUACCAGGGGCUGCCGCCGGCCCCCUCAGGCUCCUUUGCCAUCACAGCUAUAACUGCACAGGGAGGAAGGAGGGAACGUGAUGCCAGGCUACUGCAGGGUGUGGUCCUCCACCUCUGCUGGGACCUCCAUCUGUCUAAUGGGCCCAGCAGCCAUGAGGGAGGAUUCCCAGAUGAAUGCCGGGCCCAGGCCAGGCCUUGGGCAGGUGUUCCAUGCUCUUUCCCGCCCACCGCAUGACCCCCAGGGCUGAGGGGGGGGGGACGAGGUAGGUACUGAGGGGGGACCUCACUCUUGUCCUGCUGGUCCCCGAUGAUGAUGAGGAAGGCGAUGCACGUCCCGAAGGUGUAGGUGGCAAUGGCCACCUCACACAGCACGCCUGUCAGCUUGCCACACACAGCCCACACCACCUCCUGGUAGGUCCUCUCAUUGCUGGCCUGGGAGCAGUAGGCCAGGAUGACGAGGCCACUGAUGAUGAAAACCAGCAUGGCCUGCAGGCAGGGGCGGAGCAAGAGGGUGUGGGAAAGGCCUGGCAGCAAAGAGCAGCCUGGUCUUGCUCAGCACUUACUGGCCCGGUGUCCAAUGCCCAUCUGGCAAAUUAGCCUUAUCUUGCAGGGCAAUUUUAAUAGAUUACUGGAGUUGAGAUUUUCUUUAAAAACAAAAAAUUUUGAGGAAAAUUUCAAACAUACGCAAAAGUAGACAGAAUGGUAUAAUGGACCCCUGUGUACCCAUCACUCAAAUUCAAAAAUCAUC